RNAcentral lists this ribosomal RNA (448 nucleotides) under uncultured bacterium. Its description in RNAcentral is "partial 16S ribosomal RNA". It matches the Rfam family "Bacterial small subunit ribosomal RNA", at positions 338 to 795 of the family's 1533-position model. The record is from RNAcentral.
CCUACGGGUGGCUGCAGUGGGGAAUAUUGGACAAUGGGGGAAACCCUGAUCCAGCGACGCCGCGUGGGUGAAGAAGGCCUGCGGGUUGUAAAGCCCUUUCGGUGGGGAAGAAAAGCCUCGACCUAACACGUCGGGGUAUUGACGUAACCCACAAAAGAAGCACCGGCUAACUCUGUGCCAGCAGCCGCGGUAAUACAGAGGGUGCGAGCGUUAAUCGGAAUUACUGGGCGUAAAGCGCGGGUAGGCGGCCAAUCCCCGGGCUCAACCUGGGAACUGCAUUCGAGACUGUAUGGCUUGAGUAUGGGAGAGGGAGGCGGAAUUUCAGGUGUAGCGGUGAAAUGCGUAGAUAUCUGAAGGAACAUCAGUGGCGAAAGCGGCCUCCUGGACCAAUACUGACGCUCAUGUGCGAAAGCGUGGGGAGCAAACAGGAUUAGAUACCCCGGUAGUC